This 407-nucleotide ribosomal RNA is filed under the name uncultured bacterium. RNAcentral describes it as "partial 16S ribosomal RNA". It matches the Rfam family "Bacterial small subunit ribosomal RNA", at positions 30 to 526 of the family's 1533-position model. The record is from RNAcentral.
AUUGAACGCUAGCGGGAUGCCUUACACAUACAAGUCGAACGGAGUGGCGAACGGGUGAGUAAUGUAUCGGAACGUGCCCCGUAGCGGGGGAUAACUACGCGAAAGCGUAGCUAAUACCGCAUACUCUUGGAGCGGCCGAUCUCGGGGUGGCUAGUUGGUGGGGUAACGGCUGACCAAGGCGACGAUCCGUAGCUGGUUUGAGAGGACGACCAACCACCCUGGGACUGAGACACGGCCCAGAAUCCUACGGGAGGCAGAAGUGGGUAAUUUUGGACAAUGGGGGAAACCCUGAGCCAGCCAUCCCGCGUGUGCGAUGAAGGCCUUCGGGUGUUAAAGCACUUUUGGCAGGAAAGCGGUACCUGCAGAAUAAGCACCGGCUAACUACGUGCCAACAGCCGCGGUAAUUC